AAUCUAAAAAAAAAAGUCUCUGUAACAGGCUUCUGUUUGAGGUGGCUAUCAGUAAUGCCUUGUUUCAUAGUUGAGGAAGUGAGGCCCGAUUCUAUUAACAUGCCCGGAGCCACAUGAUUUCCUUCUGGGGCUGGUGGAGUUCAAGGUGCCCCUGGGGCACAUAAGUGAAGAUGUCUAGGAGGCAGUUGGGUAAACACCUGUGGAGCCAGGAGAGCUGACUGAGAGCAAGCGGAGACCUGGGAGUCAUUAGCGCACAGCCAGGGGUGGGAGGAUCUAAAAUAGGGAAAGCAGAUGGGGAACAGAGGUAUGGAAGGGGGAAGAAGCUGGGAGAAGCUGCUGAGAAAGAAGAGACCAGGAGACCAGGUCAGCCCUGCCUCGUGCUGAAGAUAGCAGGUGGCAAGACACGGACUGGAAAGUACCUGACAGCAUCUAGGAUCCCAGGAGGGAACGCUGGCAGGAGUGGGUGCGGACAGAAGCCAAACUGAGGUGCAUCCAAGAGGGGAAGGCAAAAGGAGCUAUUUCACGGACACUUGGCUGUGAAGGCAGGUUGUAACGGCAUCAAGAGAAAGCUGCAGGGUGAAGGAAGGGACAUGCAAGGGACAGCAGCCUCCCGCUCAUUUUGGAGACAGAGAGCCCUACGUGCCCUGGGUUGUCGGAAACGCUCUCCCAUUUCUGCCCCAAAUCCACUGCAACUUGGUGAGACUUACCUUCCAGCCUUUGAGAUGAACUUUCUUACCCAGGCCACCCGCACGUCUGCUCCCUCAGCUCCUGGAGUCUCUCAGCUUGAGAUCCUGUGAGAUGACCGACCCAGGGCCCAUGGACCAAACCCAGGCAGAGCACUGGGACAGGGAGCAAGACUCAGUUCUACCGAGAAGGACUCUUAGGGUAUAGGUCUACAGACUGAAGGAAAAAGACCAAGGAGAACAUUUCUUCCUUUCUUUUUUUGGGUUAAGUCUAAUUUUAGG
This is a long non-coding RNA of Neogale vison (American mink), 965 nucleotides long. RefSeq lists it as uncharacterized. The transcript has 3 exons. NCBI's taxonomy places the organism in Eukaryota, Metazoa, Chordata, Mammalia, Carnivora, Mustelidae. The record is from RefSeq and is a predicted model, not a curated record.